RNAcentral lists this transfer RNA (68 nucleotides) under Marmota monax (woodchuck). RNAcentral describes it as "tRNA.Ala". Lineage: Eukaryota; Metazoa; Chordata; Mammalia; Rodentia; Sciuridae. The record is from RNAcentral.
GGAUUGUGGCUCAGUGGCAGAGCGCUUGCCUCGCAUGUUUGAGGCACUGGGUUCCAUCCUCAACACCA